UCGCUUACAGAUGGGCCCGCGGUGCAUUAGCUAGUUGGUAGGGUAAUGGCCUACCAAGGCAACGAUGCAUAGCCGACCUGAGAGGGUGAUCGGCCACACUGGGACUGAGACACGGCCCAGACUCCUACGGGAGGCAGCAGUAGGGAAUCUUCCGCAAUGGACGAAAGUCUGACGGAGCAACGCCGCGUGUAUGAAGAAGGUUUUCGGAUCGUAAAGUACUGUUGUUAGAGAAGAACAAGGAUAAGAGUAACUGCUUGUCCCUUGACGGUAUCUAACCAGAAAGCCACGGCUAACUACGUGCCAGCAGCCGCGGUAAUACGUAGGUGGCAAGCGUUGUCCGGAUUUAUUGGGCGUAAAGCGCGCGCAGGCGGUCUUUUAAGUCUGAUGUGAAAGCCCCCGGCUUAACCGGGGAGGGUCAUU
RNAcentral lists this ribosomal RNA (420 nucleotides) under Listeria monocytogenes. Its description in RNAcentral is "bacterial SSU rRNA". It matches the Rfam family "Bacterial small subunit ribosomal RNA", at positions 215 to 627 of the family's 1533-position model. Lineage: Bacteria; Bacillati; Bacillota; Bacilli; Caryophanales; Listeriaceae. The record is from RNAcentral.